RNAcentral lists this long non-coding RNA (1389 nucleotides) under Calidris pygmaea (Spoon-billed sandpiper). RNAcentral describes it as "lncRNA (ENSCPGG00000006095.1)". Lineage: Eukaryota; Metazoa; Chordata; Aves; Charadriiformes; Scolopacidae. The record is from RNAcentral.
GAAGGGCAGGCCCCGCCCCGCCCCGGCCCCGCCCCCGCCGGGCCGUAGCCCCCGCCCCCCGCCGCGCGCCCGGCCCGCAGCCGCCGCCGCGCCGAUGCCACGUGGGAGGCGGCGGAGCCGCCGUCGGCGCCGGGCCGGAACCGCGGCCCCCCUGACGCUGGGGACGGCCCUCGCCGGGCGCCGGGAGGAGGGGAGGUCGCGGAGCCCCCGGGACCGCGGCGGCAUCGCCGAGACCCGAUGGGUGCUCGGCGCGGUGGCCCCCGGUUCGCGGCUCGGCCUCCCGGGCCUAGAGGCGCUGGCGGCGGCGGCCGGGCCUAGGGGCGGCUCCCCGCCCUGGGCGGCGCCCUCGCUGCUCCAGGUGCCGGCGGCGGCCCAGCCGGCCCCGCGGCGGGAGGGCAGCGACCUGCCCGCCGGCGCGCCGGCCGCCCUGGCCGUGCUGCGCCUUCAGCCCGGCGCGGAGGGCUCGGCGCGGGCGGCGGCGGCGGCGGCGGCGGGGGCCNCGGCGGCCGGUGCCGCGGCGGCGGGGCAGGGCGAGGCGGCGGCGGCGGCGGUGGAGGCGGCGGCCACCCCUUACGUGGGGCUGCGGCGGCCGCUGGGCUACAAGCUGGCUAAGGCCACCAAGGAGCGGAUCUGGCGGGGGGAGUUCAUUGACCUCUUUUCCUUGCUCCACACAGAGCUGGCCCCCGAGCACGGCCCGCGCCCGGGGGACACGCUGGACCAGUGGGUCUCGGCCUUCCUGGUGUACGCCAGCGUGCUGUGCGAGAAGCACCCGGCGCGCUGCGGAGCCAUGUUCAAGUACCUGGACACCAUCCGCAAGCUGCACGCCACCUACGGGGGCACCUCGUGGAUGAACUACGACGAGGACUUUCGGCGGCGGGCGGCCAAGGACCCCACCCUGCCCUGGGGGGACGUCGACCUGGACCUCUGGAUGAAGUGGAUGGCGCCCCUCAAGUCCCUCGUCGACAGGAAGCUGCCGGGUGAGAGCGAGGCGCAGGCCUCGCCAGCCCCGCCGCCCCCAACGGCAGCAGCACCACCGCCACCAUCCCAGAGCCCCAAGCAGGAGGAGAAAAGCCAGACUCCAUGAAAACAGAAGGCCAGUUGGGAUGGCAGUCAGACUAAGUGGCCUGACUCCGUUGGUGUUUAAGUGGAGCUCUGGUAUUCUAGUGCAUUCUUUUACCUCUGCUUCUGUUGCGUUGCAAGCUGUGCUAGAGAAGACGUAGGAAAUUCAUUUUACCCAAUCAGCAAUUGUAACAAUGGACUACAAACCUGCAGAGCAAGCCAGUUUGCUGGAAAACAGGAAUUCCUGCAGCGCAGCACUUGUCACAGACUAUCCAAAGAGGGCAAAGAUUCAGGAAGGUGAAUAAAUUGAACAUUGGUUGAAUGAGGUCA